RNAcentral lists this long non-coding RNA (889 nucleotides) under Ananas comosus (pineapple). RNAcentral's name for it is "long non-coding RNA (ACOM_LNC033766)". The record is from RNAcentral. Lineage: Eukaryota; Viridiplantae; Streptophyta; Magnoliopsida; Poales; Bromeliaceae.
AAAAAAAAAAAAGGUUAAUUGCAUUCAGGUCCCCUCAAACAUGAUAAAUUACAGAUAUAUUCCUAUCCGUUUGGUUCGGAGUUAAGGAAAAACUAGUUAUUCCAGAGAUAGGGUUAAGUUCAGAGUUAAGGUGGGGUUAAAAUUUUUUUGUGUUUGGUUGGGGGGUUAGAGUUAGUCCAGGAUAGUGAAAAAUAAUAUUUGGUUGGAGUAGGUGGGAUAAGAAGAAUAGUGAUUGAUAAAGAAGAAUAGUGAUUGAUAAAGAAAGGAAAAGGACUAAAAUACCCUCACUGUAAUCAUUUGAAAUAAAUGUUUUUUUUUAUUUUAAAAUUUUUUGAUUGCAAUUAUCUUUGAUUGCAAUUAUUUUUGAUGGUUCGGGCGGCGGUGAAGGGGUACGGCCGGAAGGGAAGGGCUUCGGGCGGAGGUGAAGCCCGAGGGAGGGGUUCGGCCGGCGGUGAGGGGCUAAGGCCGGAGGUGAAGGGCUUCGGGCGGAGGUGAAGCCGGAGGUGGAGGGGUUCGACUGGCGGUGAGGGGCUAAGGCCGGAGGUGAAGGGCUUCGGUCGGAGGUGAAGCCGGAGGUGAAGCCGGAGGUGGAAGGGUUCGGGCGGCGGUGAAGGGCAUCGGGCGGCGCUGACGCCAGUGUAGAAGGGCUUGGUCCUGACAUGACGGCUUUGGGCCGAGGUGAAGCCGGAGGUGAAGGGCUUCGGCCGGAGUGGAGAGGCUUCGAGAGGAGGCAGAGCCGGAGGUGAAGGGCUUCGGGGUGAGAACGGGGAGGAAGGGGAAGGAUCUACAGUGAAGGGGCUUCUGGAAGAGAGGAGACAGAGCAACGCAGGGGAGAAAGGGGAAAAGGGAGUGCUUCGGGGGGAGUGCGGGGCUAAAGCGGGAGGUAGUU